CAGCAGCCGCGGGAAUACGGAGGGUGCAAGCGUUAUCCGGAUUUAUUGGGUUUAAAGGGUCCGUAGGCGGACUUAUAAGUCAGUGGUGAAAGCCUGUCGCUUAACGAUAGAACUGCCAUUGAUACUGUAAGUCUUGAGUAUAUUUGAGGUAGCUGGAAUAAGUAGUGUAGCGGUGAAAUGCAUAGAUAUUACUUAGAACACCAAUUGCGAAGGCAGGUUACCAAGAUAUAACUGACGCUGAGGGACGAAAGCGUGGGUAGCGAACAGGAUUAGAUACCCGAGUAGUCCCUGUCUCUUAUAA
RNAcentral lists this ribosomal RNA (301 nucleotides) under uncultured bacterium. Its description in RNAcentral is "partial 16S ribosomal RNA". It matches the Rfam family "Bacterial small subunit ribosomal RNA", at positions 509 to 809 of the family's 1533-position model. The record is from RNAcentral.